Long non-coding RNA from Plodia interpunctella (Indianmeal moth), 640 nucleotides. RefSeq lists it as uncharacterized. The record is from RefSeq and is a predicted model, not a curated record. NCBI's taxonomy places the organism in Eukaryota, Metazoa, Arthropoda, Insecta, Lepidoptera, Pyralidae. The transcript has 4 exons.
CUUCCGCGCAUGCUGAACGAGUGUGUCGCUCUGAGCGGCAGAUUGCUAUAGUAAUUGCAUUAUAACUGCGUCCCGCGCGGUGACGUCGCGUAUUUGUCGGGACGAUUCUGCGUGAGAUCCCCAGCCGUAUCGCACCGUGUUGUUUUGAAUCUGGUGGUGAAGAUGUACGUGGCUUCCUUCCCGUCGGUGACGAGGAAGUAAGGCGGGGCGAGGAGAUUCCUCGCCGAGCGCAGCGCCGCUAUGCUGAUGUAGAAGAAUAUGUGGAAGGAUGCCAUUAACACCCAUCUGCAUCCUGGGUCUCACCUGUGAGGAUCGCUGUCAUUGGGCAAUAUAGCCACGAUGACGGCAUCGAGCAGGCCCCAGCCGCCCCUCCAGUGGUUAAUGUUGGCGAGAAUGAAGAUAUACGUGUACACUCUGGACAGCGCCCGCUCCAGCAGCCAUCGCCCCGCGCCGCCGUCCGCCCCGCUCCACGCGCCUUUGGAUCGCGCCAGGAGUCGUGACCUGAACAAUAAUUGCAGGUCUCCCAUGGUACAAGAAGUGUUACCUGUUGACCAGCCACGCAGGCAGGGAGCCGCGUGGGUCCGACCGGGACACGUAGCCCAGCCAGCUGCCGCCGCCCGCCCGGGAGCGAACCACAAAC